This 253-nucleotide ribosomal RNA is filed under the name uncultured bacterium. RNAcentral describes it as "partial 16S ribosomal RNA". It matches the Rfam family "Bacterial small subunit ribosomal RNA", at positions 524 to 776 of the family's 1533-position model. The record is from RNAcentral.
GACGGAGGAUGCAAGUGUUAUCCGGAAUCACUGGGCGUAAAGCGUCUGUAGGUGGUCAAAUGAGUCAACUGUUAAAUCUUGAGGCUCAACCUCAAAAUCGCAGUCGAAACUAUUAGACUAGAGUAUAGUAGGGGUAAAGGGAAUUUCCAGUGGAGCGGUGAAAUGCGUAGAUAUUGGAAAGAACACCGAUGGCGAAGGCACUUUACUGGGCUAUUACUAACACUCAGAGACGAAAGCUAGGGUAGCAAAUGGG